Mastomys coucha (southern multimammate mouse) is the source of this 519-nucleotide long non-coding RNA. RefSeq lists it as uncharacterized. Lineage: Eukaryota; Metazoa; Chordata; Mammalia; Rodentia; Muridae. The transcript is spliced from 3 exons. The record is from RefSeq and is a predicted model, not a curated record.
GGACCCAUAAAGCUGACAUCCAGGCCCCUGGAACCUCAACCAGUUCAGUUACAAACUCCUGCAUCACAGUGGGCUUUGUGAUGUCCAAAGGGAUGAACCAUCUCUGGCUGUUGCUGUUACCCUUUGGAGGAGAGAACCUCUGACUGAAGCUGAUGCUGGAUUUGAAGAUAUGCUCCAGAAAAGGGUUUGGAAUCCACUGUUUUGUGACCAGCAGGUACCACCAGCACAGUCAGAUAGAUGAUCUCACUAUGCUGCCUGGACUAGCCAAGGAUUUGCUGUAUAGACUGAGGUUACCUUGAGAUUCACCUGCCUCUGCUUCCUGAAUGAGAACCUGGCCUGGAACAAUGAUAGAAAACUUACUAGCCAAGGAGAUACCUCUGGAGAGAGGCCAGCUGAAAUCUACUUUGAAGUAGGACAAAUGACUCUUAAAAGUCACACCUACCCCCAAGCCCCCAGUUUCCAGAUGUGGAACCUGCCCAUAGCUGAUGCCUAGGACAAUGGAGAUUACAAAGAAAAAAG